AUACGGAGGGUGCAAGCGUUAUUCGGAAUCACUGGGCGUAAAGGACGCGUAGGCGGGUUGGCAAGUCAGAUGUGAAAUCCUACAGCUUAACUGUAGAACUGCAUUUGAAACUGCUGACCUAGAGUAUGGGAGGGGGAGAUGGAAUUAGUGGUGUAGGGGUAAAAUCCGUAGAUAUCACUAGGAAUACCGAAAGCGAAGGCGAUCUCCUGGAACAUAACUGACGCUAAGGCGUGAAAGCGUGGGGAGCAAACAGGAUUAGAAACCCUAGUAGUCC
This 274-nucleotide ribosomal RNA is filed under the name uncultured bacterium. RNAcentral's name for it is "partial 16S ribosomal RNA". It matches the Rfam family "Bacterial small subunit ribosomal RNA", at positions 523 to 796 of the family's 1533-position model. The record is from RNAcentral.